UACACAAUCAUGGGGAAGACUGCUGACUUGACAGUUGUCCAAAAGACGACCAUUGACACCUUGCACAAGGAGGGCAAGACACAAAAGGUCAUUGCAAAAGAGGCUGGCUGUUCACAGAGCUCUGUGUCCAAGCACAUUAAUAGAGAGGCGAAGGAUUGUGAAACAAAACCCAUUCAAUGUGGGGGAGAUUCACAAAGAGUGGACUGCUGCUGGAGCCAGUGCUUCAAGAACCACUACACACAGACGUAUGCAAGACAUGGGUUUCAGCUGUCGCACUCCUUGUGUCAAGCCACUCUUGAACAACAGACAGCGUCAGAAGCGUCUCGCCUCAAAAAGGACUGGACUGCUGCUGAGUGGUCCAAAGUUAUGUUCUCUGAUGAAAGUAAAUCAGGGUCCCAGAAUCUGGAGGAAGAGAAGAGAGGCACAUAAUCCACAUUGCUU
This is a long non-coding RNA of Carassius carassius (crucian carp), 441 nucleotides long. RefSeq lists it as uncharacterized. NCBI's taxonomy places the organism in Eukaryota, Metazoa, Chordata, Actinopteri, Cypriniformes, Cyprinidae. The transcript has 2 exons. The record is from RefSeq and is a predicted model, not a curated record.